UUUAUGGAGAGUUUGAUCCUGGCUCAGGAUGAACGCUGGCGGCGUGCCUAAUACAUGCAAGUCGAGCGAACGGACGAGAAGCUUGCUUCUCUGAUGUUAGCGGCGGACGGGUGAGUAACACGUGGAUAACCUACCUAUAAGACUGGGAUAACUUCGGGAAACCGGAGCUAAUACCGGAUAAUAUUUUGAACCGCAUGGUUCAAAAGUGAAAGACGGUCUUGCUGUCACUUAUAGAUGGAUCCGCGCUGCAUUAGCUAGUUGGUAAGGUAACGGCUUACCAAGGCAACGAUGCAUAGCCGACCUGAGAGGGUGAUCGGCCACACUGGAACUGAGACACGGUCCAGACUCCUACGGGAGGCAGCAGUAGGGAAUCUUCCGCAAUGGGCGAAAGCCUGACGGAGCAACGCCGCGUGAGUGAUGAAGGUCUUCGGAUCGUAAAACUCUGUUAUUAGGGAAG
Molecule: ribosomal RNA, 457 nt
Filed under: Pseudomonas aeruginosa
Lineage: Bacteria; Pseudomonadati; Pseudomonadota; Gammaproteobacteria; Pseudomonadales; Pseudomonadaceae
Also listed under: 1 other name
Description: partial 16S ribosomal RNA
Rfam family: Bacterial small subunit ribosomal RNA
Source: RNAcentral